This 874-nucleotide ribosomal RNA is filed under the name uncultured bacterium. RNAcentral describes it as "bacterial SSU rRNA". It matches the Rfam family "Bacterial small subunit ribosomal RNA", at positions 524 to 1397 of the family's 1533-position model. The record is from RNAcentral.
UACGUAGGGGGCGAGCGUGUCCGGAAUGACUGGGCGUAAAGGGCGUGUAGGCGGCCUGUUAAGUUAGGAGUGAAAGUCCCGCUUUCAAGGUGGGAAUUGCUUUUAAUACUGAUGGGCUUGAGUGCAGAAGAGGUAAGUGGAAUUCCCAGUGUAGCGGUGAAAUGCGUAGAGAUUGGGAGGAACACCAGUGGCGAAGGCGACUUACUGGGCUGUAACUGACGCUGAGGCGCGAAAGCGUGGGGAGCGAACAGGAUUAGAUACCCUGGUAGUCCACGCGGUAAACGAUGAAUGCUAGGUGUAGGGGGUAUCGACCCCUCCUGUGCCGGAGUAAACACAAUAAGCAUUCCGCCUGGGGAGUACGGCCGCAAGGUUGAAACUCAAAGGAAUUGACGGGGGCCCGCACAAGCAGCGGAGCAUGUGGUUUAAUUCGAAGCAACGCGAAGAACCUUACCAGGUCUUGACAUCGAGGAAAAGCCGUAGAGAUACGGUGUGGAUUCGUCCGUCCGAAGACAGGUGGUGCAUGGUUGUCGUCAGCUCGUGUCGUGAGAUGUUGGGUUAAGUCCCGCAACGAGCGCAACCCUUAUCUUCAGUUACUAACGCGUAAUGGUGAGGACUCUGGAGAGACUGCCGGGGAUAACUCGGAGGAAGGUGGGGACGACGUCAAAUCAUCAUGCCCCUUAUGACCUGGGCUACACACGUGCUACAAUGGUGUUGAACAAAGAGGAGCGAGCCAGUGAUGGUAAGCGGAUCUCAAAAAAGACAUCUCAGUUCGGACUGUGGGCUGCAACCCGCCCACACGAAGUUGGAGUUGCUAGUAAUCGCGAAUCAGAAUGUCGCGGUGAAUACGUUCCCGGGCCUUGCACUCACCGCCCGU